GAUGAAGAACUCAGCGAAAUGCGAUAAGUAGUGUGAAUUGCAGAAUUCAGUGAAUCAUCGAAUCUUUGAACGCACAUUGCGCCUCCUGGUAUUCCGGGAGGCAUGCCUGUUCGAGCGUCAUUAAAAUCACUCAAGCUUAGGUUUACCUAUUGCUUGGUCUUGGAGAUGGAAGCCAAUUUAUUGGAAUCCUCUUCGAAAUUCAAUGGCGAAGACCCUUGCUCUCCCAAGUGUAGUAAUAACUUAUGUCACUGAAGGAAGCGAGAAAUCUUCUGCCGUAACCCCCAUAUUUUCUAUGAUUGACCUCGGAUCAGGUAGGGAUACCCGCUGAACUUAAGCAUAUCAAUAAGCGGAGGA
Molecule: unclassified non-coding RNA, 354 nt
Filed under: soil metagenome
Description: partial contains 5.8S ribosomal RNA, internal transcribed spacer 2, and large subunit ribosomal RNA
Rfam family: 5.8S ribosomal RNA (bases 1-120)
Source: RNAcentral